GACGAACGCUGGCGGCGUGCUUAACACAUGCCAGUCGAACGCUGAAGCUCAGCUUUUGUUGGGUGGAUGAGUGGCGAACGGGUGAGUAACACGUGAGUAACCUGCCCCCUUCUUUGGGAUAACGCCCGGAAACGGGUGCUAAUACUGGAUAUUCACUGGUCUUCGCAUGGGGUUGGUGGAAAGGGUUUUUCUGGUGGGGGAUGGGCUCGCGGCCUAUCAGCUUGUUGGUGGGGUGAUGGCCUACCAAGGCUUUGACGGGUAGCCGGCCUGAGAGGGUGACCGGUCACAUUGGGACUGAGAUACGGCCCAGACUCAUACGGGAGGCAGCAGUGGGGAAUAUUGCACAAUGGGCGCAAGCCUGAUGCAGCGACGCCGCGCGAGGGAUGGAGGCCUUCGGGUUGUGAACCUCUUUCGCUCAUGGUCAAGCCGCAACAAUGGUUGUGGUGAGGGUAGUGGGUAAAGAAGCGCCGGCUAACUACGUG
This 482-nucleotide ribosomal RNA is filed under the name uncultured bacterium. Its description in RNAcentral is "partial 16S ribosomal RNA". It matches the Rfam family "Bacterial small subunit ribosomal RNA", at positions 28 to 507 of the family's 1533-position model. The record is from RNAcentral.